RNAcentral lists this ribosomal RNA (425 nucleotides) under uncultured bacterium. RNAcentral describes it as "bacterial SSU rRNA". It matches the Rfam family "Bacterial small subunit ribosomal RNA", at positions 354 to 777 of the family's 1533-position model. The record is from RNAcentral.
GUGAGGAAUAUUGGUCAAUGGUCGAGAGACUGAACCAGCCAAGUCGCGUGAGGGAAGGAGGGUCUAUGGCCUGUAAACCUCUUUUCUCGAGGAAGAAUAAACGGCACGAGUGCCGUCUUGCCAGUACUCGAGGAAUAAGCAUCGGCUAACUCCGUGCCAGCAGCCGCGGUAACACGGGGGAUGCGAGCGUUAUCCGGAUUUAUUGGGUUUAAAGGGCGCGUAGGCGGGACGUCAAGUCAGCGGUAAAAGACUGCAGCUAAACUGUAGCGCGCCGUUGAAACUGUCGUUCUAGAGACGAGACGAGGGAGGCGGAACAAGUGAAGUAGCGGUGAAAUGCAUAGAUAUCACUUGGAACCCCGAUAGCGAAGGCAGCUUUCCAGGCUCGAUCUGACGCUGAUGCGCGAGAGCGUGGGUAGCGAACAGGA